CAGCACCAGUUACUGUUAGAAAACACACUUGAGUUCAGUUUCUGGGAGUUUAGUCUGACUGAAGAUGCAUCUGGUCAGUGUAGAGUUGGAAGAUGCAAUGGCCCUGCUGAAUCAUCAUGUGUGUCCUGUCAAUAACUGGUGGAUCACGCUAAAGUUCUUCACUAUGUUGGAGUGGGUCUGGUCUUCCCCGGAAGUCUGCUGUUUGUGUGUGUGCAGACGCUGCUGUCGUAACGUACGGCUGUCACACGGACAGACUUCCACCCCGCACACCUGCGACUGGCGC
This is a long non-coding RNA of Myxocyprinus asiaticus (Chinese sucker), 283 nucleotides long. RefSeq lists it as uncharacterized. NCBI's taxonomy places the organism in Eukaryota, Metazoa, Chordata, Actinopteri, Cypriniformes, Catostomidae. The record is from RefSeq and is a predicted model, not a curated record. The transcript is spliced from 3 exons.